This 3108-nucleotide ribosomal RNA is filed under the name Salmonella enterica subsp. enterica. RNAcentral describes it as "23S ribosomal RNA". It matches the Rfam family "Bacterial large subunit ribosomal RNA". The record is from RNAcentral. Lineage: Bacteria; Pseudomonadati; Pseudomonadota; Gammaproteobacteria; Enterobacterales; Enterobacteriaceae.
GGGUUGUGAGGUUAAGCGACUAAGCGUACACGGUGGAUGCCCUGGCAGUCAGAGGCGAUGAAGGGCGUGCUAAUCUGCGAUAAGCGCCGGUAAGGUGAUAUGAACCGUUAUAACCGGCGAUACCCGAAUGGGGAAACCCAGUGUGACUCGUCCACUAUCAUUAACUGAAUCCAUAGGUUAAUGAGGCGAACCGGGGGAACUGAAACAUCUAAGUACCCCGAGGAAAAGAAAUCAACCGAGAUUCCCCCAGUAGCGGCGAGCGAACGGGGAGGAGCCCAGAGCCUGAAUCAGCAUGUGUGUUAGUGGAAGCGUCUGGAAAGGCGCGCGAUACAGGGUGACAGCCCCGUACACAAAAGCGCAUGUGCUGUGAGCUCGAUGAGUAGGGCGGGACACGUGAUAUCCUGUCUGAAUAUGGGGGGACCAUCCUCCAAGGCUAAAUACUCCUGACUGACCGAUAGUGAACCAGUACCGUGAGGGAAAGGCGAAAAGAACCCCGGCGAGGGGAGUGAAAAAGAACCUGAAACCGUGUACGUACAAGCAGUGGGAGCCCCACCACUAAGCCAGUGGUGAACUCCACAUACGCAUCCUUUGCUGAGGAUACGGUUAACGGAGCGAAAGCGACGUUCAACCUCAAAAGAAGCAGAGGGGGCUUAGUGGUGGGGUGACUGCGUACCUUUUGUAUAAUGGGUCAGCGACUUAUAUUCUGUAGCAAGGUUAACCGAAUAGGGGAGCCGAAGGGAAACCGAGUCUUAACCGGGCGUUAAGUUGCAGGGUAUAGACCCGAAACCCGGUGAUCUAGCCAUGGGCAGGUUGAAGGUUGGGUAACACUAACUGGAGGACCGAACCGACUAAUGUUGAAAAAUUAGCGGAUGACCUGUGGCUGGGGGUGAAAGGCCAAUCAAACCGGGAGAUAGCUGGUUCUCCCCGAAAGCUAUUUAGGUAGCGCCUCGUGAACUCAUCUCCGGGGGUAGAGCACUGUUUCGGCUAGGGGGGCAUCCCGACUUACCAACCCGAUGCAAACUGCGAAUACCGGAGAAUGUUAUCACGGGAGACACACGGCGGGUGCUAACGUCCGUCGUGAAGAGGGAAACAACCCAGACCGCCAGCUAAGGUCCCAAAGUCAUGGUUAAGUGGGAAACGAUGUGGGAAGGCCCAGACAGCCAGGAUGUUGGCUUAGAAGCAGCCAUCAUUUAAAGAAAGCGUAAUAGCUCACUGGUCGAGUCGGCCUGCGCGGAAGAUGUAACGGGGCUAAACCAUGCACCGAAGCUGCGGCAGCGAACGUAUCACUUAAAGCGAUUCAGCGGGUUACGAUUGACGGAGCGAAGCGACGUCAAAGCGUAUACAAAGUCGAGUCGGUUUAAGGAUACGUUCGUUGGGUAGGGGAGCGUUCUGUAAGCCUGUGAAGGUGUGUCGUGAGGCAUGCUGGAGGUAUCAGAAGUGCGAAUGCUGACAUAAGUAACGAUAAAGCGGGUGAAAAGCCCGCUCGCCGGAAGACCAAGGGUUCCUGUCCAACGUUAAUCGGGGCAGGGUGAGUCGACCCCUAAGGCGAGGCCGAAAGGCGUAGUCGAUGGGAAACGGGUUAAUAUUCCCGUACUUGGUGUUACUGCGAAGGGGGGACGGAGAAGGCUAUGUUGGCCGGGCGACGGUUGUCCCGGUUUAAGCGUGUAGGUGUGUGUUCCAGGUAAAUCCGGUUCACUUUAACACUGAGGCGUGACGACGAGGCACUACGGUGCUGAAGCAACAAAUGCCCUGCUUCCAGGAAAAGCCUCUAAGCAUCAGGUAACAUCAAAUCGUACCCCAAACCGACACAGGUGGUCAGGUAGAGAAUACCAAGGCGCUUGAGAGAACUCGGGUGAAGGAACUAGGCAAAAUGGUGCCGUAACUUCGGGAGAAGGCACGCUGACACGUAGGUGAAGUGAUUUACUCACGGAGCUGAAGUCAGUCGAAGAUACCAGCUGGCUGCAACUGUUUAUUAAAAACACAGCACUGUGCAAACACGAAAGUGGACGUAUACGGUGUGACGCCUGCCCGGUGCCGGAAGGUUAAUUGAUGGGGUCAGCGCAAGCGAAGCUCCUGAUCGAAGCCCCGGUAAACGGCGGCCGUAACUAUAACGGUCCUAAGGUAGCGAAAUUCCUUGUCGGGUAAGUUCCGACCUGCACGAAUGGCGUAAUGAUGGCCAGGCUGUCUCCACCCGAGACUCAGUGAAAUUGAACUCGCUGUGAAGAUGCAGUGUACCCGCGGCAAGACGGAAAGACCCCGUGAACCUUUACUAUAGCUUGACACUGAACAUUGAGCCUUGAUGUGUAGGAUAGGUGGGAGGCUUUGAAGUGUGGACGCCAGUCUGCGUGGAGCCGACCUUGAAAUACCACCCUUUAAUGUUUGAUGUUCUAACGUGGACCCGUUACCCGGGUUGCGGACAGUGUCUGGUGGGUAGUUUGACUGGGGCGGUCUCCUCCUAAAGAGUAACGGAGGAGCACGAAGGUUGGCUAAUCCUGGUCGGACAUCAGGAGGUUAGUGCAAUGGCAUAAGCCAGCUUGACUGUGAGCGUGACGGCGCGAGCAGGUGCGAAAGCAGGUCAUAGUGAUCCGGUGGUUCUGAAUGGAAGGGCCAUCGCUCAACGGAUAAAAGGUACUCCGGGGAUAACAGGCUGAUACCGCCCAAGAGUUCAUAUCGACGGCGGUGUUUGGCACCUCGAUGUCGGCUCAUCACAUCCUGGGGCUGAAGUAGGUCCCAAGGGUAUGGCUGUUCGCCAUUUAAAGUGGUACGCGAGCUGGGUUUAGAACGUCGUGAGACAGUUCGGUCCCUAUCUGCCGUGGGCGCUGGAGAACUGAGGGGGGCUGCUCCUAGUACGAGAGGACCGGAGUGGACGCAUCACUGGUGUUCGGGUUGUCAUGCCAAUGGCACUGCCCGGUAGCUAAAUGCGGAAGAGAUAAGUGCUGAAAGCAUCUAAGCACGAAACUUGCCCCGAGAUGAGUUCUCCCUGAGACUUUAAGUCUCCUGAAGGAACGUUGAAGACGACGACGUUGAUAGGCCGGGUGUGUAAGCGCAGCGAUGCGUUGAGCUAACCGGUACUAAUGAACCGUGAGGCUUAACCUUACAACGCCGAAG